RNAcentral lists this ribosomal RNA (478 nucleotides) under uncultured bacterium. RNAcentral describes it as "bacterial SSU rRNA". It matches the Rfam family "Bacterial small subunit ribosomal RNA", at positions 31 to 507 of the family's 1533-position model. The record is from RNAcentral.
GAACGCUGGCGGCGUGCCUAAUACAUGCAAGUCGAGCGGGGAUUAUGCUUGAUCGCUUCGGUGAGACGGCAUAUAUCCUAGCGGCGGACGGGUGAGUAACGCGUGGGUAAUCUACCUCGUAGUUCGGGAUAACAGGCCGAAAGGCUUGCUAAUACCGGAUGAGUUCAUGCUUAUGCAUAUAGGCAUGAAGAAAGGGCUAGCCCGCUAUGAGAUGAGCCCGCGUCCCAUUAGCUUGUUGGUGGGGUAAUGGCCUACCAAGGCAACGAUGGGUAGCCGGCCUGAGAGGGUGUACGGCCACACUGGGACUGAGACACGGCCCAGACUCCGUACGGGGGGCAGCAGUAGGGAAUUUUCGGCAAUGGGCGAAAGCCUGACCGAGCGACGCCGCGUGAGGGACGAAGGCCUUCGGGUUGUAAACCUCUGUCUGGGGGGAUGAGAACGGACGGUACCCCCGGAGGAAGCCCCGGCUAACUACGUG